GACGAACGCUGGCGGCGUGCUUAACACAUGCAAGUCGAACGGAAAGGCCAUGCUUUUGUGGGGUGCUCGAGUGGCGAACGGGUGAGUAACACGUGAGUAACCUGCCCUUGACUUUGGGAUAACUUCAGGAAACUGGGGCUAAUACCGGAUAGGAGCUCCUGCUGCAUGGUGGGGGUUGGAAAGUUUCGGCGGUUGGGGAUGGACUCGCGGCUUAUCAGCUUGUUGGUGGGGUAGUGGCUUACCAAGGCUUUGACGGGUAGCCGGCCUGAGAGGGUGACCGGCCACAUUGGGACUGAGAGACGGCCCAGACUCCUACGGGAGGCAGCAGUGGGGAAUAUUGCACAAUGGGCGGAAGCCUGAUGCAGCAACGCCGCGUGCGGGAUGACGGCCUUCGGGUUGUAAACCGCUUUCGCCUGUGACGAAGCGUGAGUGACGGUAAUGGGUAAAGAAGCACCGGCUAACUAUGUG
RNAcentral lists this ribosomal RNA (468 nucleotides) under uncultured bacterium. RNAcentral describes it as "partial 16S ribosomal RNA". It matches the Rfam family "Bacterial small subunit ribosomal RNA", at positions 28 to 507 of the family's 1533-position model. The record is from RNAcentral.